This 254-nucleotide ribosomal RNA is filed under the name uncultured bacterium. Its description in RNAcentral is "partial 16S ribosomal RNA". It matches the Rfam family "Bacterial small subunit ribosomal RNA", at positions 524 to 776 of the family's 1533-position model. The record is from RNAcentral.
GACAGAGGGUGCAAACGUUGUUCGGAAUUACUGGGCGUAAAGCGCGUGUAGGCGGCCCUGCAAGUCGGAUGUGAAAUCCCACGGCUCAACCGUGGAAGUGCAUUCGAAACUGCAGGGCUAGAGUCCUGGAGAGGAAGGUGGAAUGCUUGGUGUAGAGGUGAAAUUCGUAGAUAUCAAGCGGAACACCGGUGGCGAAGGCGGCCUUCUGGACAGUGACUGACGCUGAGACGGCGAAAGCGUGGGGAGCAAACAGG